CCUACGAGGGGCUGCAGUGGGGAAUAUUGGACAAUGGGGGCAACCCUGAUCCAGCCAUGCCGCGUGUGUGAAGAAGGCCCUCGGGUUGUAAAGCACUUUCAGUGAGGAAGAACGCCUGGUGGUUAAUACCCAUCAGGAAAGACAUCACUCACAGAAGAAGCACCGGCUAACUCCGUGCCAGCAGCCGCGGUAAUACGGAGGGUGCGAGCGUUAAUCGGAAUUACUGGGCGUAAAGCGCGCGUAGGUGGCUUGAUAAGCCGGUUGUGAAAGCCCCGGGCUCAACCUGGGAACGGCAUCCGGAACUGUCAAGCUAGAGUGCAGGAGAGGAAGGUAGAAUUCCCGGUGUAGCGGUGAAAUGCGUAGAGAUCGCGAGGAAUACCAGUGGCGAAGGCGGCCUUCUGGACUGACACUGACACUGAGGUGCGAAAGCGUGGGUAGCAAACAGGAUUAGAUACCCCAGUAGUC
RNAcentral lists this ribosomal RNA (465 nucleotides) under Vreelandella stevensii. RNAcentral describes it as "partial 16S ribosomal RNA". It matches the Rfam family "Bacterial small subunit ribosomal RNA", at positions 338 to 795 of the family's 1533-position model. The record is from RNAcentral. Lineage: Bacteria; Pseudomonadati; Pseudomonadota; Gammaproteobacteria; Oceanospirillales; Halomonadaceae.